UAACGAAUCUUCCGCAAUGCACGAAAGUGUGACGGAGCGACGCCGCGUGGAGGACGAAGUUCUUCGGAAUGUAAACUCCUGUCAGGGAUUAGAAAGUUCUGAUCAAUCCCAGAGGAAGAGACGGCUAACUCUGUGCCAGCAGCCGCGGUAAGACAGAGGUCUCAAGCGUUAGGCGGAAUCACUGGGCUUAAAGCGUGUGUAGGCGGAGUCCUAAGUACCUUGUGAAAUCCCCGGGCUUAACCCGGGAACUGCUUGGUAUACUGGGUCUCUUGAGCCAACUAGGGGCAACCGGAACAAACGGUGGAGCGGUGAAAUGCGUAGAUAUCGUUUGGAACGCCAAUGGUGAAAACAGGUUGCUGGGGUUGUGCUGACGCUGAGACACGAAAGCCAGGGGAGCGAACGGGAUUAGAUACCCCUGUAGUCC
RNAcentral lists this ribosomal RNA (424 nucleotides) under uncultured bacterium. Its description in RNAcentral is "bacterial SSU rRNA". It matches the Rfam family "Bacterial small subunit ribosomal RNA", at positions 355 to 796 of the family's 1533-position model. The record is from RNAcentral.